Molecule: ribosomal RNA, 450 nt
Filed under: uncultured bacterium
Lineage: Bacteria
Description: partial 16S ribosomal RNA
Rfam family: Bacterial small subunit ribosomal RNA
Source: RNAcentral
GUGGGGAAUAUUGGACAAUGGGCGAAAGACUGAUCCAGCCAUGCCGCGUGUGUGAAGAAGGUCUUCGGAUUGUAAAGCACUUUAAGUUGGGAGGAAGGGCAGUAAGUUAAUACCUUGCUGUUUUGACGUUACCGACAGAAUAAGCACCGGCUAACUUCGUGCCAGCAGCCGCGGUAAUACGAAGGGUGCAAGCGUUAAUCGGAAUUACUGGGCGUAAAGCGCGCGUAGGUGGUUUUGUAAGUUGGAGGUGAAAUCCCCGGGCUCAACCUGGGAACUGCCUCCAAAACUGCAUGACUAGAGUACGGUAGAGGGUAGUGGAAUUUCCUGUGUAGCGGUGAAAUGCGUAGAUAUAGGAAGGAACACCAGUGGCGAAGGCGACUACCUGGACUGAUACUGACACUGAGGUGCGAAAGCGUGGGGAGCAAACAGGAUUAGAUACCCCGGUAGUCC